AAAAACGGAGAACUGAGGUAGUUUAGUUAGUUUUUCUUCCUGCAGUAUAGCGUUCAGUGCAGUGUUAAAUCAUUUAAAUGGAUCCCAUACUGUUUAUACAUGGAUGCACAUGCUAACAGAAGUACAGGUUGCAACAUACUUAUGAGCUGCCGGGACAGAAAGAGAGGCAGAGAUAUGACACAAAGAAGAACGAGUUUUACUGCAAGAAGGGGGAGGACAAAUGCCAUGUUUAACCCUUCUAGAGCCGCAUCAUUCAGGCGUUUCUCCCAGCACCAGUGAUCAGUGGGCAGAUGUGGAUUUCCAGUAGCUCUGUUCAGUUUUCUGCCUCGCGGCUCAGAGGGGCUGGCUAAUAAUUUGUCGGCCCCUGUGGGGCGUGUGGACAGCACAUCAACAACAGGCCCAGUGUUCAGAUCUGAUGAGAGCAAGGCUGAUCUGGCCACUCUGAAGGCAGGAGGGUAGGAAGAGUGAAGGAAAGGAGGGCAAAAGGAAGCAAAGGAAUGGUAUUGCUGCACAGAUCUCUCUCUCUCUCUCUUUUCAGGCUGUCAGUGUGUGGGGUUUCAUGAGUUUGUGGGGCCAUUGUUAGACUUCCAUACUAACAUGCAUUACCUCUAUAGGGGGACAAAGGGCAAGAGCAACCAUUUCUCCACCUCAGGACACGUGCUUUUCUCUUGAUUAAAACAACAUGUUUUUUUUCUGAUUGAGAGGUGUUGUGCAACAAUGUCCCUCCUUUGCAGGUCAAACAGCAAAUCCAUGAAAGCUGCAGAACACCGCAUACGAUCGCAUCGCAAAAUACAUUUCUACACUCUCGGAGUGAAGCAAAGACGUCAAAAAGAAGAUUGAGCAAUUUAUGCAGGUGGACUCGCCUCUGUUAUCAGUUUAAACAACAUACGCCACAGAUUGUGUCCGCUGGCCUCACAGCAACAUACCUGUGGGUCCACCUGCACUCCAUCCUUACAUGAGAAACUGUACCUGUCUAUAUUAUAUUCUCACACUGAGCCUCCAAAUCUUCAUAGCAUAAAUAUUUAUUUUAAGAAGGUACGAGCACGGUGCCAGCCAGGUUUCAAACAACUCAUAGACCAAUUACCCAUCAUCAAACGCGCACAUCUGCCAUCUAGUGGUAGAACAGCGUAAAUACAAACAAGAUAAGCGUUAUAUAGGAUUUGAAGCAUCAUUUGUUUUCUUUGCCCAGACAACAAAGAGGUCAUUUUAUUGAACUGGACUCAGAUUUGAACUGAUCUCAAUAAUUACGAAUAAAGUGGUGAAAUGUAUUUUAACGUCUGUCCGCAGCUGCUGAUGGCCGGCCAUCUAAAGGAGGAAUAAUGUACUUUCAUGAGUUGCUGCUGAAAAUUAGAAAAUAUCAGAGGAAUAAAGUCACUUUUGUUCAUUACUCUCAUCAUUGCAUCUGGGCAAUUUUGGAUCGUAAUCGUUUGGAAAUCCCUCUAACAAUUAAACCAAAAACUCCAGUCUAGCAGUAAUAAACACGUGGAUGGAUUCAGCAUCAGUUUAAGACACGGAGCUUCUUAAUAUUAUGCAAAUCUUAAUCUCCUCACAGUUGAACUGCUGGCUGAAGAAAUGCCCUCCAGAGUGAUGAUGUGGGUGGCAAAUCUAUUCCCGAAAUUUGGGUUUAACACCUGCCCCACAGAGGACUGCUCUGUUGAGCAAUUCCAAUAUAAAGGCAACAUCCCUUAGCCUACAACAGUGAUUAGGUUUCCAAAAAAAAAAAAAGAAAAAAGCUGGGUCUAGUUUUCAUGCAAACAUUGUGGGAGGAAAUGUGUCAAUUUGAUUUGUAGGUUUUUGCAUGGAAAUGGGAAAUGCAAAACCAAAGAUUGAGGUAAAAGACACAGAGCACCUAAAAAAAACACGUGAAAAAAAGUGAUGUGCGCCAUUUAAAGAAGCUGCUGAAGCUAAUCGGAUAGCAUUCCUGGUUUUAUUAAAAUGAUACCACCCGGUGAAUCAUCAACAGUCAUAACACACAAAAUAGACCGAAAAGGUAAAGGGGACCCCAUAUAUGCACAGAAAGCGGAUCCACAGAGGAGAUUUAAGAAAUCCAUUUAGUGUAUAAACAUGGGCUGUUGACUUUGGACUUCCUGAGAAUAUACACCACAAAUGUAAAUGUAGGUCAAUAUUUGAGGGCUCAUUUAACAUGAUUUGAACACCUUCAGCUGGGCGGAAAAGGGCCAGCACCAAUCAGACCUAUAUCUGGGCUUUUACGUAAUCUUGUAUACGAAUGAUGGACAGUGUUAAAGUGCUGCCUUUA
This 2257-nucleotide long non-coding RNA is filed under the name Takifugu rubripes (torafugu). RNAcentral's name for it is "lncRNA (ENSTRUG00000032232.1)". The record is from RNAcentral. Lineage: Eukaryota; Metazoa; Chordata; Actinopteri; Tetraodontiformes; Tetraodontidae.